AGGAUUAACGCUGGCGGCGUGCCUAACACAUGCAAGUCGAACGAGGUAGCAAUACCUAGUGGCAGACGGGUGAGUAACGCGUGGUCAACCUACCGUUGAGUGGGGGAUAACUAGCCGAAAGGUUAGCUAAUACCGCAUACGUCUCCGAGGGGCAUCCCUUGGCGAUAAAAGGAGCAAUCCGCUCGAUGACGGGACCGCGUCCCAUUAGCUAGAUGGUGGGGUAACGGCCUACCAUGGCACCGAUGGGUAGCUGGUUUGAGAGAGCGACCAGCCACACUGGGACUGAGAAACGGCCCAGACUCCUACGGGAGGCAGCAGUGAGGAAUUUUCCGCAAUGGGCGCAAGCCUGACGGAGCGACGCCGCGUGUGGGAAGAAGGCCUUCGGGUCGUAAACCACUGUCGAAGGGGACGAUAAUGACGGUACCCUUGGAGGAAGCCCCGGCUAACUACGCGCCAGCAGCCGC
This 464-nucleotide ribosomal RNA is filed under the name uncultured bacterium. Its description in RNAcentral is "SSU rRNA". It matches the Rfam family "Bacterial small subunit ribosomal RNA", at positions 26 to 518 of the family's 1533-position model. The record is from RNAcentral.